GAUGAAGAACGUAGCGAAAUGCGAUAAGUAAUGUGAAUUGCAGAAUUCAGUGAAUCAUCGAAUCUUUGAACGCACAUUGCGCCCGCCAGUAUUCUGGCGGGCAUGCCUGUCCGAGCGUCAUUUCAACCAUCAAGCCCCGGGCUUGUGUUGGGGACCUGCGUCCGACGCAGGCCCCGAAAACCAGUGGCGGGCUCGCUGUCCACACCGAGCGUAGUAGCUAACCUCGCUCCGGAGUGGCGCGGGCGCCUGCCGUAAAACCCCCCAAUUUUACAAGGUUGACCUCGGAUCAGGUAGGAAUACCCGCUGAACUUAAGCAUAUCAAUAAGCGGAGGA
RNAcentral lists this unclassified non-coding RNA (333 nucleotides) under soil metagenome. RNAcentral describes it as "partial contains 5.8S ribosomal RNA, internal transcribed spacer 2, and large subunit ribosomal RNA". The stretch from base 1 to 120 matches the Rfam family "5.8S ribosomal RNA", at positions 35 to 154 of the family's 154-position model. The record is from RNAcentral.